UACGAAGGGGGCUAGCGUUGUUCGGAAUUACUGGGCGUAAAGGGCGCGUAGGCGGUGUGUCAAGUCAGGCGUGAAAGCCCCGGGCUCAACCUGGGAACCGCGCUUGAGACUGGCACGCUAGAGUUCGGGAGAGGAUGGUGGAAUUCCCAGUGUAGAGGUGAAAUUCGUAGAUAUCGGGAAGAACACCCGUGGCGAAGGCGGCUCUCUGGAACGCAACUGACGCUGAGACGCGAAAGCGUGGGGAGCAAACAGG
Molecule: ribosomal RNA, 253 nt
Filed under: uncultured bacterium
Lineage: Bacteria
Description: partial 16S ribosomal RNA
Rfam family: Bacterial small subunit ribosomal RNA
Source: RNAcentral